This 467-nucleotide ribosomal RNA is filed under the name uncultured bacterium. RNAcentral's name for it is "partial 16S ribosomal RNA". It matches the Rfam family "Bacterial small subunit ribosomal RNA", at positions 29 to 507 of the family's 1533-position model. The record is from RNAcentral.
ACGAACGCUGGCGGCGUGCUUAACACAUGCAAGUCGAACGGAAAGGCCCUGCUUUUGUGGGGUGCUCGAGUGGCGAACGGGUGAGUAACACGUGAGUAACCUGCCCUUGACUUUGGGAUAACUUCAGGAAACUGGGGCUAAUACCGGAUAGGAGCUCCUGCUGCAUGUUGGGGGUUGGAAAGUUUCGGCGGUUGGGGAUGGACUCGCGGCUUAUCAGCUUGUUGGUGGGGUAGUGGCUUACCAAGGCUUUGACGGGUAGCCGGCCUGAGAGGGUGACCGGCCAAAUUGGGACUGAGAUACGGCCCAGACUCCUACGGGAGGCAGCAGUGGGGAAUAUUGCACAAUGGGCGGAAGCCUGAUGCAGCAACGCCGCGUGCGGGAUGACGGCCUUCGGGUUGUAAACCGCUUUCGCCUGUGACGAAGCGUGAGUGACGGUAAUGGGUAAAGAAGCACCGGCUAAAUACGUG